UAAUGUGAUAAUACAGAAAAUAAUAAUCUGAGGCUGGUCUCAUACCAUCCUUUAAGACUUCUGCUCUUCUGAAAAUGCUUACAGAGCAGCCAUAACACAAAGUUUGCACAUCUCCUUCCGUGGUUGUGGGUUUGGGCUUGUCAGGAAAGUAUUCGUUGUUUAAAGUUUGUUCGUAAAUUUUAAGUUCUGUUUGCUGCACUGAAGUUAAAUUAUGUGGCUGAAAACCCAUUUGUAACAGAACAGGUAAAUUAUCCUGAUUUACUUACUAUGAUGCUUUAGUACUUUCUUUGUAUUCUGCUGUUGAGCAGAGGACAGAGAUGUUGGGCUAAAUGAAGAGCUGUAUUUCAGCCAAUACAGUACUUCAUGCGUCUCAAGCAUAGAGGUUCAACGAGGUACUAACUGAACUUGCAGUGUAUUUUUGCUUAAUGUUGAAGAAUCAAACUUUUAAUAACUAAAAAGAAUGCAGUGGGCUUGUCUAACUGUGGCUUUAGCAGAGCUACUAUACUAUAUGGAUACAACCUGUUUGAUAAUGCACAUUUCAGUUAGUUUUUCUAGUAGUCUUUGGUUCUUGUGACUUACUAAACAGCCACAUACUCAAAUUUUUGUAGGACCUCACAGACUUUACAAGCUAAUUGUUCUUUCACCUGGAGACUAUGGGCAAAUGACUUUCAACACAAAAGGAGUGGAUUGGGCAUUUCCAUUGCUCUAAGCCACCAUCUUUUUCACUGAAGAGGCUGACCAGCAUUUUGCUGAAAUACAGCUCCAAAUCCAUAUACCAUGUGUACAUAUGACAUUUGAACAGGAUGGGAUUUAAUGAAGUCUCCUUGGAUUAGGAAACUUGGAUUUCAUUGAAGUAAUCGAUGAUUAGAAAAGUAAAGGUAAAGCUUUUGUAGUAUGAAUUUCCAAGUUCCUGUGUAACUUAAUACAAAAUAGACUUGCACCUUGAGGAUAAACCUUA
Oxyura jamaicensis (ruddy duck) is the source of this 958-nucleotide long non-coding RNA. RefSeq lists it as uncharacterized. NCBI's taxonomy places the organism in Eukaryota, Metazoa, Chordata, Aves, Anseriformes, Anatidae. The transcript has 2 exons. The record is from RefSeq and is a predicted model, not a curated record.